This 202-nucleotide ribosomal RNA is filed under the name Cephalopholis sonnerati (tomato hind). RNAcentral describes it as "partial 16S ribosomal RNA". Lineage: Eukaryota; Metazoa; Chordata; Actinopteri; Perciformes; Serranidae. The record is from RNAcentral.
ACUGACCCGCUAGCCCGACCUUAACCAAAAAUAACAAGACAAAUUAACUAAACCCAAAAACACCAACACCCACACAACAAAUCAUUUUUCCCCCUUAGUAUGGGCGACAGAAAAGGAAUCUACGGAGCGAUAGAGAAAGUACCGCAAGGGAAUGCUGAAAAACAAAUGAAAUAAACAAGUGAAGCCCAAAAAAGCAGAGAUA